Molecule: ribosomal RNA, 629 nt
Filed under: uncultured bacterium
Lineage: Bacteria
Description: bacterial SSU rRNA
Rfam family: Bacterial small subunit ribosomal RNA
Source: RNAcentral
UGCAGUCGAACGCCGACGCACCUUCGGGUGUUUAGGAGUGGCAGACGGGUGAGUAACGCGUGGGAACCUACCUUUAGGUACGGAAUAACGCAGGGAAACUUGUGCUAAUACCUUAUACGCCCUUCGGGGGAAAGAUUUAUCGGAUUUGGAUUAGCCCGCGUUAGAUUAGAUAGUUGGUGGGGUAAUGGCCUACCAAGUCUACGAUCUAUAGCUGGUUUUAGAGGAUGAUCAGCAACACUGGGACUGAGACACGGCCCAGACUCCUACGGGAGGCAGCAGUGGGGAAUCUUAGACAAUGGGCGAAAGCCUGAUCUAGCCAUGCCGCGUGUGUGAUGAAGGCCCUAGGGUCGUAAAGCACUUUCGCCAGAGAUGAUAAUGACAGUAUCUGGUAAAGAAACCCCGGCUAACUCCGUGCCAGCAGCCGCGGUAAUACGGAGGGGGUUAGCGUUGUUCGGAAUUACUGGGCGUAAAGCGUACGUAGGCGGAUUAGUAAGUUAGGGGUGAAAUCCCGAGGCUCAACCUCGGAACUGCCUCUAAAACUGCUAGUCUUGAGUUCGAGAGAGGUGAGUGGAAUUCCGAGUGUAGAGGUGAAAUUCGUAGAUAUUCGGAGGAACACCAGUGGCGAAGGC